This is a long non-coding RNA of Helicoverpa zea (corn earworm), 471 nucleotides long. RefSeq lists it as uncharacterized. Lineage: Eukaryota; Metazoa; Arthropoda; Insecta; Lepidoptera; Noctuidae. The record is from RefSeq and is a predicted model, not a curated record. The transcript has 2 exons.
CAAAACCACAUCAAAUUUCAAGCAUGUGCACUAAAAUAUAAGUCUAAACUCUUGACUGACAUUAUUAUCGCAUUUGUGAAAUAUGACGAUUGAUGAUUCAUUGACAUGAAUCGGCACUUUAUCGACGUAAAUGCUUGAGUAUGUGUAUUAUUGAUGUUUGUACUUAGAACCAGUUCCAUCAUCUUAUUUUGUAGAGCCUCCUCGCCGUGUCCCAGACGUAGCAGAUGCCGUUCAUCCACAUCCAGCUCUGCUACCUUUUCGAACAGCUGAUUGAGUGCUUGGUUACUGUGAGUGACCACAAGGUUGCGCUGCCACGGAAAGUUGUGGUACAGGUUCGAUAUGAUCUGUACAGCUACGUCAGUUUUACCUGUCGAAGAUCAUGAAAUACUUUCAAUAAUGAAAUGCUACUGGUGGUAAAUGUGAUAACUUUGCUUGUUUUUAGUAGUGUCAAGUAUAAAAUGCUUUAAAUAA